CCGCAUACGACCUACGGGUGAAAGAGGGGGAUCGCAAGACCUCUCACUAUUGGAGCGGCCGAUGUCGGAUUAGCUAGUUGGCGGGGUAACGGCCCACCAAGGCUACGAUCCGUAGCUGGUCUGAGAGGACGACCAGCCACACUGGAACUGAGACACGGUCCAGACUCCUACGGGAGGCAGCAGUGGGGAAUUUUGGACAAUGGGCGCAAGCCUGAUCCAGCCAUGCCGCGUGAGUGAAGAAGGCCUUCGGGUUGUAAAGCUCUUUCGGCGGGGACGAAAAGGUCCGUGCUAACACCAUGGAUCCAUGACGGUACCCGCAGAAGAAGCACCGGCUAACUACGUGCCAGCAGCCGCGGUAAUACGUAG
Molecule: ribosomal RNA, 366 nt
Filed under: uncultured bacterium
Lineage: Bacteria
Description: bacterial SSU rRNA
Rfam family: Bacterial small subunit ribosomal RNA
Source: RNAcentral